Molecule: ribosomal RNA, 429 nt
Filed under: Chloroflexota bacterium
Lineage: Bacteria; Bacillati; Chloroflexota
Description: Chloroflexi bacterium partial 16S ribosomal RNA
Rfam family: Bacterial small subunit ribosomal RNA
Source: RNAcentral
UGGGGAAUAUUGCACAAUGGGCGCAAGCCUGAUGCAGCCAUGCCGCGUGUAUGAAGAAGGCCUUCGGGUUGUAAAGUACUUUCAGUCGGGAGGAAGGUGGUAAGGUUAAUAACCUUAUCAAUUGACGUUACCGACAGAAGAAGCACCGGCUAACUCCGUGCCAGCAGCCGCGGUAAUACGGAGGGUGCAAGCGUUAAUCGGAAUUACUGGGCGUAAAGCGCACGCAGGCGGUUGAUUGAGUCAGAUGUGAAAUCCCCGGGUUUAACCCGGGAAUUGCAUCUGAUACUGGUCAGCUAGAGUCUUGUAGAGGGGGGUAGAAUUCCAUGUGUAGCGGUGAAAUGCGUAGAGAUGUGGAGGAAUACCGGUGGCGAAGGCGGCCCCCUGGACAAAGACUGACGCUCAGGUGCGAAAGCGUGGGGAGCAAACAGG